This 492-nucleotide ribosomal RNA is filed under the name uncultured bacterium. RNAcentral describes it as "partial 16S ribosomal RNA". It matches the Rfam family "Bacterial small subunit ribosomal RNA", at positions 29 to 507 of the family's 1533-position model. The record is from RNAcentral.
AGUGAACGCUGGCGGUAGGCCUAACACAUGCAAGUCGAACGGCAGCACAGUAAGAGCUUGUUCUUACGGGUGGCGAGUGGCGGACGGGUGAGGAAUACAUCGGAAUCUACUUUUUCGUGGGGGAUAACGUAGGGAAACUUACGCUAAUACCGCAUACGACCUACGGGUGAAAGCAGGGGAUCUUCGGACCUUGCGCGAUUGAAUGAGCCGAUGUCGGAUUAGCUAGUUGGCGGGGUAAAGGCCCACCAAGGCGACGAUCCGUAGCUGGUCUGAGAGGAUGAUCAGCCACACUGGAACUGAGACACGGUCCAGACUCCUACGGGAGGCAGCAGUGGGGAAUAUUGGACAAUGGGCGCAAGCCUGAUCCAGCCAUACCGCGUGGGUGAAGAAGGCCUUCGGGUUGUAAAGCCCUUUUGUUGGGAAAGAAAAGCAGCAGGUUAAUACCCCGCUGUUCUGACGGUACCCAAAGGAUAAGCACCGGCUAACUUCGUG